This 736-nucleotide long non-coding RNA is filed under the name Homo sapiens (human). RNAcentral describes it as "HSALNT0129773". Lineage: Eukaryota; Metazoa; Chordata; Mammalia; Primates; Hominidae. The record is from RNAcentral.
GUACUUAUUUACAGACAGCUGGCCAGGGACACAGUCCCUGGCAGGUGUGAGAGUCACAAAGGAUUGACUUGGUGCUGAGGCAUAAGCCCUAUUGUUUCUAGGUUGGCCACAGUAGGAGAGGAGCCCUCUAGUUCAGUGAUACCAGCGCUCUCACUGGAAGAAAUGAGGAGGGCCUUUCUCCAUGAAAAUGAGCGUGACAGAAAACUGCAGGUGCCGGAGCCCCAGAGGCCGUUCUGUAAGAAGCAGAAAAAGACAUCACUUGAGACUGAACUUGCAUGAAAAAUGAGGCUGUAUAAGGAAAAUAAAUUCCAACUUUGGAAUUCUCCAGUUUCCCCUAUCUUAGCCUUCAUACUGAUCCUUUAGCAAGAUAGGUGGUUACCAGUGGUUUCACAUUCAGCACUGUCUACAAGAGGUUUUGCCUCUAGAAGUUACAAGGACCAGGGAAUACAUAGGAAGAAACCACGAAGAUAUCUUGGACACAAAUAGAAUUUCAAGUAGGGUGUGUAUGGAUGUCACAUUUGAUAAAAAGGACAAAGUCUUAUUUUACAUAUGUUUUCUAUACUUAGAUUUUGUGCUAAAUUUCAUUGCAAAGCAAAUUGAUUUGUUUGAAAAUAAUCACGAAAUUGAGUGGCACAGAUGUCUGAUUUUAAGCCACAUAUUUUAAAGUGGGUGUGCUUUUGCAGCGUCGCAUAGUCUGCUUGGGACACGUGUGUACAUAUGUGGGCAUCAGUGUCUG